RNAcentral lists this non-coding RNA (29 nucleotides) under Rattus norvegicus (Norway rat). Lineage: Eukaryota; Metazoa; Chordata; Mammalia; Rodentia; Muridae. The record is from RNAcentral.
UCAGAGGAACAGACUUGCAAGUCCAUGGG